GAGUUAUGAAGGAUUUGGUGCAAGCGGUCUACACUCAUAUCGAGAAGGAGUACCGACCAAAAUCUGGUCGGUAUUACCUUGGAACCUUGACGUUUUUGGCUGGCUUUUCGAAGCCAAAUUAAUGAAGAAUUAUCGAGAUGCUGCACCGACUGAAUUCUGCUUGGUAUUGAUCUCCUGAAGCUAUCCUUGACGCCACACCGAGGUGAGUUCAGC
Molecule: long non-coding RNA, 213 nt
Filed under: Eutrema salsugineum
Lineage: Eukaryota; Viridiplantae; Streptophyta; Magnoliopsida; Brassicales; Brassicaceae
Description: long non-coding RNA (ESAL_LNC002220)
Source: RNAcentral